GAUGAAGAACGCAGCGAAAUGCGAUAAGUAGUGUGAAUUGCAGAAUUCAGUGAAUCAUCGAAUCUUUGAACGCACAUUGCGCCCCUUGGUAUUCCAUGGGGCAUGCCUGUUCGAGCGUCAUUUGUACCUUCAAGCUUUGCUUGGUGUUGGGUGUUUGUCUCGCCUCCGCGUGUAGACUCGCCUCAAACCAAUUGGCAGCCGGCGUAUUGAUUUCGGAGCGCAGUACAUCUCGCGCUUUGCACUCACAACGACGACGUCCAAAAGUACAUUUUUACACUCUUGACCUCGGAUCAGGUAGGGAUACCCGCUGAACUUAAGCAUAUCAAUAAGCGGAGGA
This 337-nucleotide unclassified non-coding RNA is filed under the name soil metagenome. RNAcentral describes it as "partial contains 5.8S ribosomal RNA, internal transcribed spacer 2, and large subunit ribosomal RNA". The stretch from base 1 to 120 matches the Rfam family "5.8S ribosomal RNA", at positions 35 to 154 of the family's 154-position model. The record is from RNAcentral.